RNAcentral lists this long non-coding RNA (3379 nucleotides) under Canis lupus familiaris (dog). Its description in RNAcentral is "lncRNA (ENSCAFG00000057088.1)". The record is from RNAcentral. Lineage: Eukaryota; Metazoa; Chordata; Mammalia; Carnivora; Canidae.
UUUUUUUUUUUUUUGUUUUUUUUUUUUUUUUUUUUUGGUUUUUUUUUUUUUUUUGCUUUUUUUUUUUUUUGUUUUGUUUUUGUUUUGUUUUGUUUUUAUCAAAGUCUCUACUUCCAGGGGCUUUUGGUAUAGUAAGUGCUGUAGUAAAAGACACACGCUAAGCUGACCAUCCACCUGUCCCUCUCCUACAGCAGUGGCUGGGUUCCUGUGCAGAGCCUGACACUGUAGUGUGUAUCCCACCCGCUGCAGCUUUAGCUUCUAGAACCUCAGCUGGGUUCCUCCCUCCCACUCUGUAUAUCCAUCCAUCAGCACCUUCUUUACCUUCUUUUCCCUUCUCACCAGAAUACUUUUUACAGCCUUAAGUCCCGGCCACAUUCCGUCGUCGUAUGACUUUACUUCAAAUGUCAAAAGAAGAUUGAUGCCCCCCACAUCUCUGGUUCCACACCAUUUCCUUUCCUUCGCAAUUCUUUGAGAGGAUUCUGUGUUCAAUAUCUCUGUGGUCUGAAUGUAACUCAUUAACCCCUUGCAUCCUAACUUCUGUGCCCGUCACACUAGGAAAAGCACUCACUUUAAUUCCAUUAUUAGAAGAAAAUAAAUUUUUAUCUCUUCCAUAGUAGCAAAGUGAGCACCUUAUUGGGACUAGUAGGAUAUAGUCAAGCCUGCUCAAAUAGAGCCCCUGCAGUGACUUUCUGUUAUUUUUAUAUAGCUUUCGUUGUUGUCGUUUGGUUGGUUGGUUGGUUGUUUUGUUGUUGUUUCUGUGUGUGUCUGUGUUUUUGUUUUUGUUGUUUUUCAGAGCCUUGUGUCAGAGACUGGACUAGCCAUUCAUGAAACAUUUCUUCUUCCUGGACGUAUAGCUAGUCUGAAUCUCCCAAUUUCCUUUGCAAGUUGGAGCCAUGUAGAUGACUUUUAGCCCGUGAAAUGUGAAUGGAAGUGAUGCACUCAUUUCCAGGCUUAAUAAAGUUCCUCCCGUCUUCCCUUAUUCUUUCUCCAUCAGCUUAUAACUAGUAUCAUAACCUUGAAAACUAUAUGUCGGAGAUGCCAGUGCCAGAAGAGAGGCACAUGAGUAGCUAAAUCAUUACUUGGAAGCCUGCCACUCCAAAUAAUUAAUUAAUAAAUAAAUAAAUAAAUAAAUAAAUAAAUAAAACAAACCUCUUUGGGGCUUAUUAUAAGAGAAAAUUGAGAUUUGAGAAUUUAUGUAUUAUAGGAGCUAGAAUGACCAUAACUAAUCUGGAACUUGGUACCAGAAGGGGAAUACUGCUAGGACAGUCAUCUAAAAUAUGUUGCAUUGUCCUAGUGAUGAUGUAGCAGAGGUUGUAGAAACUGAUAUAGGAGGCUGAAAGGAGACCUAGGUUUUCUAGGGGCAACAUAAUUGAAAAGUAUAUCACCUAUCUAUUGAGACUAGUUCCAGAGGAAAUAGUUCAAAAGAAUUUAAAAGUGAUAGUGUAUUUUGAAUUUUACAUUUUGCUUUUAGCAAGGUUUUUCUAAAAAGAUGAGCUCAAGGAAAGAAUUGCAGAAAUGAAAAUGCAUAAGAAUACUUGGAAGGAUUGACUUUCUAGAAGACUUUUCCAAGACUUUCUUGGAAGGAUUCUGACUUUCUAGACCUUGAGUGGUAACAAAUGAAAUGGAAGAAACCUUGACUAUAGUUCAGGAACAAAGAUAUCAACGCUUUCUUGUUCCCAACCAAGCCAUUAUUUUAGAUGGCCUGAAGGUGGCUGGGAUGAAGUUCUAGAGAAACAGGCAUGAGGACAAGGAAGCAAAGAAGUAAAUCAGGUUUGAGAAUUAUGUAAGAAAGAACUUUGGGUUGGGACACCUGGCUGGCUCAGUCAGAAGGGUAUGUGACUCUUGAUCUCAGGGUCAUGAGUUCAAACCCCCAAGUUGGGUGUAGAAAUUACUUAAAUACUAAACUUAAAAAAGAAAGAAAGAAUGAACGAACUUUGGGUGUAGUUACUGGAAGCAAAUCAUCACAAGACUAAAUUUUUGAAGGACUUUUAUUACUAAUCAAAUUAUUAACUUGGUUCAAAUGUUAUUCAAGUAUUAAAACAGUAAGGCCCCAGGCUUUCAUAAAAAAAAAAAAAUAGGGCAUAAACACUUUAUAGCAUCCCAGUACCCACAUAGGAUGUGGCAUGGAGAAUAUCGGACAACAUAUCAGAGGUUGAUACCGGGAGCUAUACAGAAGACAAAGGACAACAGAGUUCUCCCAAAGACUAGACUGAGGUCCCAUCAAGUCUUCUUCUACUCUCAAGGAAGGUGGAUCACAAAAUGUCCAUGCAGUAUUUCAUCAUCAUUAUGUAUUCACAUUGCCUAGUAUCUCACAUUUUUCUCUUCCCAAUAAGACCAUAGUGUAAUACCUAUCUCUGAUUUACCACUGUACAUUGGGUUUGUGGAAGCAUGGGGUUAUAUUAGAGAUAACUUGUCUUUAGUUUAUGGGUUACACGUGGACCUAAGAGGACUGCACACUACUUAUAAACCUAGACUUUAAGCCUGACCUAGUAACUCAACAGAAUUUUAGGUUGUCUCUGUUGGAGUUGGAUGUGUUCUCUGUGUGGGAAGAGAAGGUAAAAUAGAUAUUUAGUGAUCAGAAUAGUGGACUCUUGCAGAUACUAGAUUCUUUUUCUGGGCACACAGAUUAUAUUUCCCUGCCUCCCUUGCAAUUAGGCUUGCCGGUGAGGGGUGCCAAUUAGGUUCUAACAGGUGGGAUAUGAGUAGAAGUGAUGUGCUCCUGUUGCAGCUGUGGUCUAGAAAAAUAGCACAUGAAAAGUCCAAGAUCUCCACGUUCCCCACCAACUCGAGGCCGAUGAACACAGUUGUAUUAGAAGCCAUGUGUUGAAGAUGGCCAAGCCACAGGGUAAAAGGACUCACUUGGAUUAGAGUUUAUAUGCAUUCUUUUGUGUUAAACCACAGAUUUGGAAAUUAUCCUAAUAUAAUCCUAGCCUUCUUUCCCAAGAUGCAACUGUCCAUUACCCAUGAUACCACAGGAAUGGGCCCAUGAAUCAGGUCAGCCAAAGUACCUUAACUACACAGUCCUAAUGAUCGGUUCAGGCAUGGGCAAGCUAACAAAACAAAGCCAAUCAGAAAAAGUCUCACCAUUUUGGCUAGCACUAUUGAGAAAGAGGUACCUCAGUCUGGAAUUAUGCAAAAACUUAACUCUCUAUGGCCUAUCAUCGCCUUGUGCAGUGGACUUGCCUGAGAAUGAAAUUGUAAGAGAAGAGCCCAUGAUUGGAGACAUGUACUUCCUGGCUCUCUCCCUAGAGUUAAUAUACCAAGGGUAAGGGAUAGAUACUACCAGGAAGACUUCAGAAUUCAAACAGAGCUUGUGGCUUAUUCCUAGCUCCCCACCAGGAAGUUUGCCCAACAAGGACAACUACAAAAAAAUAAAAAA